This 376-nucleotide ribosomal RNA is filed under the name uncultured bacterium. Its description in RNAcentral is "bacterial SSU rRNA". It matches the Rfam family "Bacterial small subunit ribosomal RNA", at positions 524 to 898 of the family's 1533-position model. The record is from RNAcentral.
UACGGAGGGUGCGAGCGUUAUUCGGAAUUACUGGGCGUAAAGCGCGUGUAGGCGGGGAUGCAAGUCUGUUGUGAAAGCCCCGGGCUUAACCUGGGAAGUGCAUUGGAAACUGCAUUUCUUGAGUGCUGGAGAGGAAGGGGGAAUUCCCGGUGUAGAGGUGAAAUUCGUAGAGAUCGGGAGGAAUACCAGUGGCGAAGGCGCCCUUCUGGACGGCAACUGACGCUGAGACGCGAAAGCGUGGGGAGCAAACAGGAUUAGAUACCCUGGUAGUCCACGCUGUAAACGAUGAUCACUAGGUGUAGCGGGUAAUCAUUCCUGCUGUGCCGCAGCUAACGCGUUAAGUGAUCCGCCUGGGGAUUACGGUCGCAAGACUAAA